RNAcentral lists this ribosomal RNA (238 nucleotides) under uncultured bacterium. Its description in RNAcentral is "partial 16S ribosomal RNA". It matches the Rfam family "Bacterial small subunit ribosomal RNA", at positions 334 to 589 of the family's 1533-position model. The record is from RNAcentral.
UGUUCCUACGGGGGGCAGCAGUGAGGGAUAUUGGUCAAUGGGGGAAACCCUGAACCAGCAACGCCGCGUGAGGGAAGACGGUUUUCGGAUUGUAAACCUCUGUCCUCUGUGAAGAUAAUUACUUUAGCAGAGGAGGAAGCUCCGGCUAACUACGUGCCAGCAGCCGCGGUAAUUCGUAGGGUGCGAGCCUUUUCCGGAUUUACUUGGUGUAAAGGGAUCGCAGACGGUCUGACAUGUC